GCGUACGGCGUCCGACGAGUAUCCGGUCUGUCGUUCGUCGUCCUCACGGGCGUUCGGGCGAUACGAUUCGGUAUUCGACAGGGCAGCCCGCCGUCGUCAUGAGUAAGGCUUCUUAGAGGGACGGGCGGUGGCCAGCCGCACGAAAAGGAGCGAUAACAGGUCUGUGAUGCCCUUAGACGUCCGGGGCCGCACGCGUGCUACACUGGGGGAGUCAGCGCGGAACUCUUCCCUGCCCGGAGGGCGUAGGGAAAGCCGCUGAGUCUCCCCCGUGAUCGGGACCGGGGCUUGGCCAUUGUGCCCCGCCAACGAGGAAUUCCCCGUAGGCGCGGGUCAUAACCCCGCGCCGACUACGUCCCUGCCCUUUGUACACACCGCCCGUCGCUACCAUCGGUGAACGGUCUAGCGAGGACCUCGGACCGGCGCAAGUUUCGCACUAGCGUCCGGGAAGACGCC
Molecule: ribosomal RNA, 453 nt
Filed under: Dendronotus frondosus (frond-aeolis)
Lineage: Eukaryota; Metazoa; Mollusca; Gastropoda; Nudibranchia; Dendronotidae
Description: SSU rRNA
Rfam family: Eukaryotic small subunit ribosomal RNA
Source: RNAcentral